GACGAACGCUGGCGGCGUGCCUAAUACAUGCAAGUAGAACGCUGAAGGAGGAGCUUGCUUCUCUGGAUGAGUUGCGAACGGGUGAGUAACGCGUAGGUAACCUGCCUGGUAGCGGGGGAUAACUAUUGGAAACGAUAGCUAAUACCGCAUAAGAGUAGAUGUCGCAUGACAUUUGCUUAAAAGGUGCAAUUGCAUCACUACCAGAUGGACCUGCGUUGUAUUAGCUAGUUGGUGGGGUAACGGCUCACCAAGGCGACGAUACAUAGCCGACCUGAGAGGGUGAUCGGCCACACUGGGACUGAGACACGGCCCAGACUCCUACGGGAGGCAGCAGUAGGGAAUCUUCGGCAAUGGACGGAAGUCCGACCGAGCAACGCCGCGUGAGUGAAGAAGGUUUUCGGAUCGUAAAGCUCUGUUGUAAGAGAAGAAUGAGUGUGAGAGUGGAAAGUUC
This 451-nucleotide ribosomal RNA is filed under the name Streptococcus mitis. RNAcentral describes it as "bacterial SSU rRNA". It matches the Rfam family "Bacterial small subunit ribosomal RNA", at positions 28 to 465 of the family's 1533-position model. The record is from RNAcentral. Lineage: Bacteria; Bacillati; Bacillota; Bacilli; Lactobacillales; Streptococcaceae.